UUUCCGUAGGUGAACCUGCGGAAGGAUCAUUUCCGAAAAAACAUUAUACCAACCCACCGUGUGCAGUGUUUUGGGUUUCUUUUUUACUCUCUCCCUUGUGACCGUGGUCGGUCCAUGAAAUGCAUGUCUAUGCAUCCAUGGGCGCAUUGUCACGUCUUGGGGGGAGAGGCCUUGAUGAACUACCUUUCUUAAUUGAAGGUUGAUGUACUCGGUUUUUUUUAAGCUGGUGUCGCCUGUGGCUCCUUUGCGAGUGCAGACGCAUGCCGAAAUUAAAAAAUGAUACGACAACUUUUAACGGUGGAUCUCUUGGCUCGU
RNAcentral lists this unclassified non-coding RNA (315 nucleotides) under soil metagenome. RNAcentral's name for it is "partial contains small subunit ribosomal RNA, internal transcribed spacer 1, and 5.8S ribosomal RNA". The record is from RNAcentral.